RNAcentral lists this ribosomal RNA (1906 nucleotides) under Echinofabricia goodhartzorum. Its description in RNAcentral is "SSU rRNA". It matches the Rfam family "Eukaryotic small subunit ribosomal RNA". The record is from RNAcentral. Lineage: Eukaryota; Metazoa; Annelida; Polychaeta; Sabellida; Fabriciidae.
GCCAUGCACGUGUAAGUCCAUACCUUUGCACGGUGACACCGCGAACGGCUCAUUAGAUCGAUCGUUGUUCCUUAGAUCGUACGACAUUGACUUGGAUAACUGUGGUAAUUCUAGAGCUAAUACAUGCGACGCAGACCGCCACGGCCGGCGCGGCAGUAAUGCUGUGGACGGUGCGGUGGCGGAGCUUUUAUUAGACGAAAAACCGGCUGGGUACUUUGGUACCCGUGUUGCUUUUGAAAAAGAAGCCGUGUUGGUGACUCUGAAUAACUUGUGCUGAUCGCUUGUGGCCCCGCGUGGCCGGCGACGUAUCUUUUAAACGUUCGACCUAUCAAGUUUCGACGGUAGCCGCCUUGGCUACCGUGCUGGUAACGGGUGACGGGGAAUCGGGGUUCGAUUCCGGAGAGGGAGCCUGAGAAACGGCUACCACAUCCAAGGAAGGCAGCAGGCGCGCAAAUUACCCACUCCCGGCACGGGGAGGUAGUGACGAAAAAUAACGAUACGGGACUCUUUCGAGGCCCCGUAAUCGGAAUGAGUACACUUUAAAUCCUUGGUGUUUUGGCGAGGAUCUAUUGGAGGGCAAGUCUGGUGCCAGCAGCCGCGGUAAUUCCAGCUCCAAUAGCGUAUAUUAAAGUUGUUGCGGUUAAAAAGCUCGUAGUCGGAUGUGCUAGCGGUGCGUUGGGUUGUGGCCUUUUUGUUGGCUUCGUACUUUUCAGCGUGUGGACCGCUACGGUGUCGGUCGGAGAGAGGUUUGCCGCAGCCGCUUUGCGGCGGCGGGCGGCGGCCUCGGUCGGCUUAGCUCGGGGGCUGUUGCUGGCUCCCGUGUGGUCGGUCCGGCCCUUUUACUUUGAAAAAAUUAGAGUGUUCAAAGCGGGCGCGCCUCGCGUCGCCCGGAUAGUAGAAGCAUGGAAUAAUAGAAGAGGACCUCGGGUCGGUGCGUUUGUUGUUGGUUUUGGUCGGCCUCGUCUCACGAUACAAGAGGUAAUGAUUAAGAGGGACGGCCGGGGGCGUCCGUAUUGCGGCGUUAGAGGUGAAAUUCUUGGACCGUCGCAAGACGAGCGGGUGCGAAAGCGUUCGCCCAGAACGUUUUCAUUGAUCAAGAGCGAAAGUCAGAGGUUCGAAGACGAUCAGAUACCGUCGUAGUUCUGACCCUAAACGCUGUCGGCAGGGGACGGGCGGGCGUUCCGAUGGGAUGACCCCGCCCGAACUCGCGAGAGAAAUCUUUUAGCUUCUGGACUCCUCGGGGAAUAUGGUUGCAAAAGUGAAACUUAAAGGAAUUGACGGAAGGGCACCACCAGGAGUGGAGCCUGCGGCUUAAUUUGACUCAACACGGGAAAACUCACCCGGCCCGGACACCGUAAGGAUUGACAGAUUGAGAGCUCUUUCUCGAUUCGGUGGGUGGUGGUGCAUGGCCGUUCUUAGUUGGUGGAGUGAUUUGUCUGGUUAAUUCCGAUAACGAACGAGACUCUAGCCUGCUAACUAGCCCCGUCGUUCUAUGCGUUAGAGCGGCGGGCGAUUCCGCGAGUGCGGCCUCGCGCGGCAUUGCGCCGCAGUCUUGCGGUUGCGUGCGGCGCGUUGGCGGCUCGUCGGAGCGCUUCUUAGAGGGACAAACGCCUUACAGGCGCACGAGAUUGAGCAAUAACAGGUCUGUGAUGCCCUUAGAUGUUCGGGGCCGCACGCGCGCUACACUGAAGGCCUCAGCGUGUGUCGCUUUGGGCCUGCGCCGAGAGACGCGGGUAACCCGUUGAACCGCCUUCGUGCUAGGGACCGGGGCUUGCAAUUGUUCCCCGCCAACGAGGAAUUCCUAGUAAGCGCGAGUCAUAAGCUCGCGUUGAUUACGUCCCUGCCCUUUGUACACACCGCCCGUCGCUACUACCGAUUGGAUGGUUUAGUGAGGCCCUCGGAUGGG